This 426-nucleotide ribosomal RNA is filed under the name uncultured Paenibacillus sp. RNAcentral's name for it is "bacterial SSU rRNA". It matches the Rfam family "Bacterial small subunit ribosomal RNA", at positions 355 to 774 of the family's 1533-position model. Lineage: Bacteria; Bacillati; Bacillota; Bacilli; Caryophanales; Paenibacillaceae. The record is from RNAcentral.
UAGGGAAUCUUCCGCAAUGGACGCAAGUCUGACGGAGCAACGCCGCGUGAGUGAGGAAGGCCUUCGGGUCGUAAAGCUCUGUUGCCAGGGAAGAAUGUCGAGGAGAGUAACUGCUCUUCGAAUGACGGUACCUGAGAAGAAAGCCCCGGCUAACUACGUGCCAGCAGCCGCGGUAAUACGUAGGGGGCAAGCGUUGUCCGGAAUUAUUGGGCGUAAAGCGCGCGCAGGCGGCUUUGUAAGUCUGGUGUUUAAACCCGAAGCUCAACUUCGGGUCGCAUUGGAAACUGCAAGGCUUGAGUGCAGAAGAGGAAAGUGGAAUUCCACGUGUAGCGGUGAAAUGCGUAGAGAUGUGGAGGAACACCAGUGGCGAAGGCGACUUUCUGGGCUGUAACUGACGCUGAGGCGCGAAAGCGUGGGGAGCAAACA